CAUUUACCAAUCAGCUUCUAGAAUGAAAAUUGAGAGAGCGUGUCCAACAACACUCAGUGGAUGCGAUAUUCAUCGUUCAUUUUCGUUGCUGACCUCUCAAUUUCGUUGCAUUUACACGCUGGUCUCCAAACUAGUUUCAUAUUCAAGAUAACACAAUGAUUCGCAUGCCAGUAGGUCCAAAGGUUGACCCAAAAGAAGAACAGCAGAAAAUGCGCAAGGCAUUCUGGGUGAAUGUGGGAACUUUUGCAGCAAUUGUUGUAACUCUCAGAGUAGCGCCAUAUGUAAUCAAACAGUUCUCAUGAUGGUGAAGAAAAUGUAUUGUUGAGUUGCCAUAUUUUAAAUGGAUUGUGUAGCAGGUAUUACCAUCUCUGAUCCAUGACAAUGAAGACAUAAUUUACUAUAGUGAUGAUUACAUAACCAUCCCAGAUAAAGACAAUAAUUGAGUACUGUAUUGGUAAACCAGACAAAAAAAAAGCUGAUUUAGUCAUAGGAAUCAGCACAUAAAGGGGAGUUCUAAAGUUCUACUGAUAAUAUAAUUUAUUCCUAACAUUAUAGAGUAAUUAUUUUUAAAAUUCAAUGAAAGUUGCAAAUAUGGAAUAAUGUAGAAAUAAGAUACAUUAGUGGUGACCUUCUUUAAUUCAAAAUGGUGGCCAUAGUAGGCAUCAGAGACAUGGCACACAACUUUUUUUUUUAUAAAUCUACAUAUAAUAUGAAAGAUAUUUUGUGCCAAGUUUCAUGCUUCGGUAAUAAAAUGCACAACUGGGUCACUUAGGUGCUCUACUAAUCUAAUUCAUAAGUGAAUCCAAGGGGGACCUUCUGGCCUUUCCCCCACCCCCUAACUUUGUGAAAUUUUUAAAAAAAUAGAGAAUUCAAGUCUAUUAUUUUGUGUACUGUAUUAAAUUUAUUUAAAAAUACCCUAAUAUACUCUCAGCUGUUUUGUGAAUGUUCUUGAAAUAUUUGGAGGAUAUUUGUUCUAUAAUAAUUAUAGGUGUACAAGUACUUCCAAAUUAAGAUGCUGACAAGAUUUUCUUUGUACUGUAUUAUAAAGACCAAUAAAGUUACUUGAAACAUGUAUUUGAAAUCAUAAAGUACA
Anneissia japonica is the source of this 1093-nucleotide long non-coding RNA. RefSeq lists it as uncharacterized. The transcript is spliced from 3 exons. NCBI's taxonomy places the organism in Eukaryota, Metazoa, Echinodermata, Crinoidea, Comatulida, Comatulidae. The record is from RefSeq and is a predicted model, not a curated record.